GGUUUAAAUUACAUUGUUAGUAUUUGUAUUAGAAGCACGUUGUAGUAUAUCACUGUGACGACUACUUUGACUACUGGGGGAAAGGAACCCAAGUCACAGUAACUUCUGCCACUGCAACCGCACCAACUGUGUUUCCUCUGAUGCAAUGUGGUUCUGGGACUGGAACCACAAUCACUCUUGGCUGCUUCGCCACCGGCUUCACACCCUCCACACUGACCUUUGCAUGGAACAAAGUAAAUGGCGCUGCCUUGACUGACUUCAUUCAGUACCCUCCAAUACAAAAGGGAGGCCUUUACACGGGGGUCAGUCAAAUCCGAGUGAGCCGACAGGACUGGGACGCAAAGAAUACUUUCCGAUGUGCCGUGACACAUGCAGCGGGACCUGCAGAGGUCAUCUUUAAACCGAUAAACAAGGAGGUUGCCUUGCCAAACAUCUCAAUACACCCAGUUUGGGAGGGUGAAUUCGGGACCUUACCAAGCAGACUCAUCUGCACCAUUAGUGGUUUCUUUCCAGACAAACUGAGUUUGGAGUGGGAGCAGGACAACCAAACUCUAAAUACUGUGCCACACCCAAGGAAGCUGCAGUGUGUGGAGGAAAUGGAGAAAACCAUCAGUCUGAGCAGUGAGAUCGAGCCAAAUAUGACUGAGUGGGCACAAGCCUCAAGUUUUACGUGCAAGUCCGUUCACAACAAUCAGGAAUUUAUGAAAACAAUAAGUAUUUGUCAAUAUCAUACAAAGAACUCUCCUUCCAUCCACGUGGAGAUUCCCAGCUUCAAGACAGUAAUGAUGGCAGAAUUCUCCGUAAAAGCAACAUGUUUUGUCGACACUCUUCUUGAUGCUAAGGUGACCUGGCUGAUGGAUGAGACAGUCGCACCGGGUAGCACAGUGACAGAAAACAGAAACACAACUCGUUUAGUCAGUGAACUGACGGUUUCUUCAAGUACAUGGAAACAACUCAAGUCGAUAACAUGUAAAGCUGACCAUAAGUGCUUCUCAUCCACUAAGAACACUGAGAAUGUCAGAGGACCUGCAGCUACAGCUCCAUUGGUUGAGAUCAGGAGAUCUCUCAAAGAUUUGCUGAAAGGAGACAGUGCUGUGCUGGAGUGUGAUGUCACAAACCUCUCAUCAUGUGACCUGUACAUCAACUUUGAAGCCAACAGUGUUGACAUCUCUGACAAACAGUAUGUUCAACUUGCUAAAGCCCCAGGCCUCCAUUCAAUCAGUAGACGUUUCUCUGUUCCUUCAAGUUAUUUGAAGACAAACACAAGUUUCACCUGCAAAGUGACCCAAGGAUUCUCCAGCAGCAUUAAGUCAAACUCCAUAGGCAAUUUUUUUGUGGACCCAUCAAUGGAACUUUUUCUGGCCCCCAGUGAAGAGUCAGGAAAACAGACACUCCUGUGCUUUGGUUGGGGCUUCAACCCUCAAAUUAAAUGGUCUUCUGAGUCCCAGCACAGACCUUCAUCAACCAAUGACAUCAGCAUGAGAGGAGAUGGACGUGUGGCAGUAACCAGCCAACUUCAUGUCCCUCACACAGAGUGGAAAACAGGGACCGUCUUCACCUGUGAAGUAUCUGACAAGUCUCUGAACACAAAUCUGACAAAGGACAUCAGCGUCUGCUCAGUAACUCCUGCAUCAUCUCAGAUAGUUGGCGUGUAUGUUCAGGGACCGCCACUCGACGAGCUUCAGAACAAGGGACAUGUGACUAUCAGCUGUCUUCUGGUUGGCCCUUCUCUUAACGACUUCUCCGUCACCUGGAAAGUAGGCGGGUACAGUUAUUCCCUGAAUGUCCACAAGGAGCCUCUAGUGAGUCAUGGCAAUGGGACAGAAACUUUACGGAGCUCCCUCAAUGUGCCAGCGGGGGAUUGGCAUGCAUUUAAACAAGUGUCUUGUGAGGCCAAGCACCGAUGUUCCAACCAGGGCUAUGAGGACCAUACAACCAAAAGCACAGAGCUGUAUCCACCAGCAGUGAAGAUAAUACAACCAACUGCCGAUGACCUUUCUACCUCAGACGGCCUCGCACUUAUUUGCCAAGUGUCUGGAUUUUUCCCGUCAAAUAUCAUAGUGUACUGGGAGGAGAAUGGCCAGAGACUCACUUCAACUCACUUCACCAACAGUCCAACAUGGAAAUACACAGGGAGCAGCACAUAUUCAAUGAGCAGCAGACUAAACACAUCACAAACGGAGGACAAGGAGUCUACGUAUUCUUGUGUUGUCAGACACGAGUCAUCUGAAAGCACUAUAAAGGAUGUGUAUGCCACAGUGACCCACAGCAAACCUUCAGCGACCUUGCUCCACGGCUCUGGUGAACUUGUGUGCCUGGUCUUCGGCUUCAGCCCUGCAUCCAUUAACGUCACUUGGUUUCUGGAUGACACCAGGGAACUGUUGGACUACAACACUAGUGAACCCCACAGAGGCCCAAACAGAAAGUUCAGCAUUCAAAGCCACCUGCGUCUGUCCCAAGUCAUCUGGUUACCUGGGGCGAACAUCACCUGCAGGGUGACGCAUGCAAACAUCACCCUAUCCCUGGAUAUAUCUAAACCAGACUCCUUGAAGGACUGUGAUUUCAUAGAUGACAUCAUGCAUGCUGGACUGUACCAGGACACAGCUGUGGAUAGCUGGUAUAUGGCUUUCAUUUUCCUCAUUUUCUUCCUCAUCUCCCUUAUCUAUGGUGUCUUGGCUACCUUGAUGAAGAUUAAAUGAUGAUGAUCCCAGGAGGACAGAUCCCUUUUUAUGAUCCAAAUGUGGACUUUUGAAGAUUUUUAUGGCAUUUGGCUUUUUCUAGUUUUAAAGUGUAAUGGAUUAAUUUAUGUAUAAACAUAUAUUGUUAUAUGUGAGGGAACUGGUUUAUACUUUAGGCCUGUUUGUUUAUUUUUAAGUUCCAGCUCUACAUUUGGCGUGGCGUGUAUGUAUUGCAUUUGUGUAAGAGGAGAAAUGAUGACAGCAAUAAAAAAUGAAAUAAAAAAAUUAAACUUUAAA
Molecule: non-coding RNA, 2975 nt
Organism: Anarrhichthys ocellatus (wolf-eel)
Lineage: Eukaryota; Metazoa; Chordata; Actinopteri; Perciformes; Anarhichadidae
Source: the annotation of a RefSeq genome assembly